AAAGUCGUAACAAGGUUUCCGUAGGUGAACCUGCGGAAGGAUCAUUGACAAAUCUAAAACAACUGCUCUCUUCUCCUUGGGGAAGAAGCAGAACUUUCUAACCUGUGAAUCGGCAGUCUCGCAAGAGCUGUUUGCGUUUUGGUGUUGGGUUGCUUCGGCAACUUCAGCCAAAACUGCACACAUAAACGUCUAACAAAAUUGUCUAAGCAUUUUGCAUAAAACAAAAACAACUUUUAGCAAUGGAUCUCUUGGCUUCU
This 257-nucleotide unclassified non-coding RNA is filed under the name Basidiomycota sp. RNAcentral describes it as "partial contains small subunit ribosomal RNA, internal transcribed spacer 1, and 5.8S ribosomal RNA". The stretch from base 1 to 47 matches the Rfam family "Eukaryotic small subunit ribosomal RNA", at positions 1785 to 1831 of the family's 1831-position model. Lineage: Eukaryota; Fungi; Basidiomycota. The record is from RNAcentral.